CCAAUAGAUCCGCUGUCGAUGUAAUCAUCACAUGCUUUUGUUCUAUUAUUGGAUCAGGAAAACGAAACCGUAAGAGUGGUAACACAUCGGUGUCGGAAAGUUGACGAAGGUUUUGAAAAAUCAACUCUGUAAGACGUACUAACAAGACAUGAAGGUCUACAUUUGGUUUCCUAACCAGACCGAUGUCGGGCACGCUUCUUUAGAACUCUCCAAAGGAAGGUACCUAAGCUGGUGGUCAGACGAUCGGAAAAUGCUGAAAAUUUCCGAUGACGUCGAGGCAAUGGGACGAGAUCCUAACAAAACAUUCGACCUUGAUGACCUCCAUUGCGAUGAAGACGAGAUCGAAGACGGGUGGAACGGAGCGAGUUAUUUCGCGCUUGGUACCAACUGCUGCUGGGUGGUCUACCAAGCUUUACGACAUGGCGGAGCUCCCUACAGUCCUAAUCCGAUCUGGACCCCGUCUAUUCUCUACCGUUAUUUGAUAAGAGUGACAGAGGGGUUUUGGGCUAUGCUUGGUGCAUUUUCCGAAACAUCGCUCUUUUGAAACGUUUCCGAAAGACAACGAUGUCAGGUCAAGGGGUAAUCUAUAGACUGAAAGCGUAAUGACACAAAGAAUGAACUCGAAAAAUAAAGCUUUGUUCAAUAAA
RNAcentral lists this long non-coding RNA (647 nucleotides) under Gigantopelta aegis. RNAcentral's name for it is "uncharacterized LOC121381376". The record is from RNAcentral. Lineage: Eukaryota; Metazoa; Mollusca; Gastropoda; Neomphalida; Peltospiridae.